UUCUUGGUGUUUUUAAACACCACCAACAUUGAUAAUCGUACUUUAU
Bos taurus (domestic cattle) is the source of this 46-nucleotide non-coding RNA. NCBI's taxonomy places the organism in Eukaryota, Metazoa, Chordata, Mammalia, Artiodactyla, Bovidae. The record is from Rfam.